Lycium ferocissimum is the source of this 832-nucleotide long non-coding RNA. RefSeq lists it as uncharacterized. NCBI's taxonomy places the organism in Eukaryota, Viridiplantae, Streptophyta, Magnoliopsida, Solanales, Solanaceae. The transcript has 3 exons. The record is from RefSeq and is a predicted model, not a curated record.
AUUGGAAUUUCUCUGAAACCCCAAGACAUAUAUCUACAACUUUCAUUAAGGCCACAAAGUCUAUUUUUUCCGUUUACCCCUUUGAAACUGAGCGACAGUACAAGACAGUAGUACUAUCCAGAAUUCCUGUUUUGAUAGUUUAGGCUGAUUUUCACUGAUUUCAUGUUUAGUUUCGACGUGCUGAAACUAUUGAACUUAAGUAGAUAUUUGAUUGUGUAUUUAAGGUAUAUAUGCUCUUGUACAAGCUAAGAGGAAUUGUUUGACGAAGUGGACUUUGGUUGGUCUAUGGCGUAGACGAUUUGAACUCCUCGAGUUGUGGUAGAACUUGUUGUGUGGUAAAACGCCAAGGUAUAUAUGCUCUUGUACAAGCUAAGAGGAAUUGUUUGACGAAGUGGACUUUGGUUGGUCUAUGGCGUAGACGAUUUGAACUCCUCGAGUUGUGGUAGAACUUGUUGUGUGGUAAAACGCCAAGGUAAUGUACGGGAAGAGAUUUGAAGAUGGCCAUUUGGAGUAGACUUUUUGGGAGCCUUAGUGAAGAUCACAUUUGCAUAUGCAUCUAGGUCAUUUAAAAUUUUGGGGACUUGUACAUGAUCCAUAUGUAACACUUAUGUAUGAAAUUUUGGAGGCUUGUUGGACACAAGACCAUAUGCUUGUAACUUGAACUUGGUGACUUGUUUUGCUAUUUUAGGGUGUGCUUCCAACCCAAGUCAUGCCAUGUACUGGGUUUACAUUUUGCCUUGUAAUUAUGUACAAAGGAAGAUACUAGUUUAUGUGAUAAUCGCAAGUUUGAGUUUCGUGUAUCUUAUGGACCCGCAGUGGUGUUGAUUUGAAA